UACGGGGGGAGCAAGCGUUGUUCGGAUUUACUGGGCGUAAAGGGCGCGUAGGCGGUCAGCACAAGUCAGUUGUGAAAUCUCCGGGCUUAACUCGGAAAGGUCAACUGAUACUGUGCGACUAGAGUGCAGAAGGGGCAACUGGAAUUCUCGGUGUAGCGGUGAAAUGCGCAGAUAUCAGGAGGAACACCGGUGGCGAAGGCGGGUCUCUGGGCCGUAACUGACGCUGAGGAGCGAAAGCGUGGGGAGCGAACAGG
Molecule: ribosomal RNA, 254 nt
Filed under: uncultured bacterium
Lineage: Bacteria
Description: partial 16S ribosomal RNA
Rfam family: Bacterial small subunit ribosomal RNA
Source: RNAcentral